CCCAGGAUGUUAGAAAGACAAGGUGGAUGAGGUAAUAUCUUUUAUUGGACCAACUUUUCUCAGUGAAAUAAAGAUCCAGUAAAAGAUAUUACCUCACCCACCUUGUCUCUCUAAAUUUGGCUGGACAGACAUAAUUUACUUUAAUUCUUCUGCAUUUAAUAUCUGGCUAAUUUCCAAGGAUUUUUCUCAUGAGUUGGAGAGUACAGGGCUGGGGAGAAGUAGUUUCUUCCUGCUGGGAGACUGAGGGGAUUGGUACUAGCUCCCUGCCUUCCUGUUGAAUAAAACAUCUCUUCCCUUCGAUUAGGCUGCCAAUAUGACCUAUCUCCCCAACUGGUGCACUGGGCCAAGAACCAGCAAGGGAAAGCAGACUACACUGGGGUGUUAAACUGAGGGCACAGAGGAACCAGUAUGGAAUAAUUAAGCCUGUUGUCUUGAGUGCAUUAAGGAUUAAGGUCCAGAUCCUCAAAAGGCACUUAGGUAACUUCCACUGAGAGCUGAAAAAGUGAGCAAAGAGAAAUUAUUGCAGCGCAGAGUUCAUUGCAAAUUGUGCAGAUUAUGGAUAAAACUGAGCUAAAUUGAGAAUUACAGAGCAGCAGUGACAGUCUGCAAUUGGCCACUAAAAUGGUUAUUACAGGGUGAAUGUAUGAAUGAAUAGCUCCAAUACAUGAGCCAGUCAUACCUAAUUCAGCUCACACAAACAAAUGAAUUUGUUUUUGAAUUGCAGAGUUCACUAGAGGCCAAAAAUGCUGAAGGUCGAAAACAUAUUACGACACCACUUCUGCCAAAUCUACUUCAUUGAACUAUUUUUAACUCCUCACUAAAGAUGGGCAGCAAUGAGGCCAAAUGCAAGCAUGAGAGGAAGUUCUAAAUACACCCAAGCACGGAUGACAAAAUUACACAAGAGGUUUGUGCCUGCAGUAUCCACUCUCAUAACAGAGGAGAAACUCCCGUUUUGUGAUUCCAUAAGGUGAAUUAAUGUAAAGCAAUACGUUCUGGAAGAAGAAUUCUAGGAGAAAACAUUGCAAACGGUUGGGAAUAUCCAACAGAAUCUUCUACCUAUUUGACAUAUGCAAUUAAUGCUUGGGAUAAUUU
Molecule: long non-coding RNA, 1092 nt
Filed under: Chrysemys picta bellii (western painted turtle)
Lineage: Eukaryota; Metazoa; Chordata; Testudines; Emydidae
Description: lncRNA (ENSCPBG00000012801.1)
Source: RNAcentral